UAUAAGUUUGAUUCUAACUUAAUUUCUUAUACUAUAAAUAAAAAUACAUGAAAAUUCUUAAAUUCCUAUAAUUAUAAAAUUAAAAAUAAACAAAUUAAUUUAAUUAUUAAAUAAAAUCUCAGUAUAUAAUAUUAAUUAAUUAAUUAAUGUUAGAAUUAAUAUUUAUAAAUAUUCAGACCAAAUAUUGUGCCAGCAGUCGCGGUUAUACUUUAUGAAAAAAUAAGAAAAUUUUAGUAAAUAGUAAAAUAAAAUAAAAUUUAUAAAUACUUUAUUAUUAUAAAAAGUAAAAUUAUUAAAUAAAUAAUAAUUAAUUUAUUUUUAUUAUAUUUAAAAUACUAUAAAAAUUAAAACAUAAACUAGGAUUAGAUACCCUACUAUAUUUUAUAUAAAAUUAUAUUACUUGAUUAUUAAUAGAUAAAUUCUUUAAAUUCAAAGAAUUUGGCAGUAUUUUAGUCUAGUUAGAGGAACUUGUUUUAUAAUCGAUACACCCCGUAAAAUCUUACUUAUUUUAAAUAAUCUGUAUAUCGUCAUUAUAAGAUAACUUUUAUAAAAUAAGUUAUUAUAAAUAAAUAUUUUUAAAUAUAUUAGAUCAAGGUGCAGUAAAUAAAUAAGAAAAAAUGAGUUACAAUAAUACUUAUUUAUAAACGAAUCAUAAAAAUAAAUAUAUAUGUAAAGGUGAAUUUAAUUGUAAUAUUUUUUUAAAAUAAUAAUUUGAUAUAAGCUCUAAAAUAUGUACAUAUCGCCCGUCACUUUCAUAAUUAAAAUGAGAUAAGUCGUAACAUAGUAGAUAUACUGGAAAGUGUAUCUAGUCUU
RNAcentral lists this non-coding RNA (813 nucleotides) under Kiwa tyleri. The record is from RNAcentral. Lineage: Eukaryota; Metazoa; Arthropoda; Malacostraca; Decapoda; Kiwaidae.